Molecule: ribosomal RNA, 529 nt
Filed under: Starmerella bombicola
Lineage: Eukaryota; Fungi; Ascomycota; Dipodascomycetes; Dipodascales; Trichomonascaceae
Description: partial 18S ribosomal RNA
Rfam family: Eukaryotic large subunit ribosomal RNA
Source: RNAcentral
UGCAUAUCAAAUAAGCGGAGGAAAAGAAACCAACAGGGAUUGCCUUAGUAACGGCGAGUGAACAGGCAAGAGCUCAGAUUUGAAAGCCUUUCGGGGCAUUGUAUUCUGAAGCCUUGAUUCUGAGAACCGGUACCUAAGUCUUCUGGAAAGGAGCGCCAAGGAGGGUGAUAGCCCCGUACGGUACUGACCUCAUUGUAGAAUCUUGGCGUGGAGUCGAGUUGUUUGGGAAUGCAGCUCAAAUGGGUGGUAUGCUCCAUCUAAAGCUAAAUAUCUGCGAGAGACCGAUAGCGAACAAGUACUGUGAAGGAAAGAUGAAAAGAACUUUGAAAAGAGAGUGAAAAAGUACGUGAAAUUGUUGAAAUGGAAGGAUAGGCCGCUAACCACGUAGAGCCGUGUCUGAGGGGAGGAUAAAAGCUGUAGAAUGUGGCUCUUCGGAGUGUUAUAGCUGCAGUGCAUACUCCCACUCGGGCGCGAGGACCUAAGGCUCUGCUAAAUGGUGGUCUAUCACCCGUCUUGAAAACACGGACCA